Molecule: ribosomal RNA, 35 nt
Filed under: Geobacillus sp. T6
Lineage: Bacteria; Bacillati; Bacillota; Bacilli; Caryophanales; Anoxybacillaceae
Source: RNAcentral
AAACACCCGUUCCCAUCCCGAACACGGAAGUUAAG